This 106-nucleotide small RNA is filed under the name Marmota monax (woodchuck). Lineage: Eukaryota; Metazoa; Chordata; Mammalia; Rodentia; Sciuridae. The record is from RNAcentral.
GCUGGGUGUGGUGGCUCAUGUUUGUAAUCCCAGCUUCAUGGGAGGCUGAGGCAGGAGGAUCGCAAAUCCAGGCCAGCCUUGGCAACUGAGUGAGAUCCUGUCUCAA